RNAcentral lists this transfer RNA (73 nucleotides) under Exaiptasia diaphana. RNAcentral describes it as "tRNA-Val". It matches the Rfam family "tRNA". From Rfam's summary of the family: Transfer RNA (tRNA) molecules are approximately 80 nucleotides in length. Their secondary structure includes four short double-helical elements and three loops (D, anti-codon, and T loops). Further hydrogen bonds mediate the characteristic L-shaped molecular structure. tRNAs have two regions of fundamental functional importance: the anti-codon, which is responsible for specific mRNA codon recognition, and the 3' end, to which the tRNAs corresponding amino acid is attached (by aminoacyl-tRNA synthetases). tRNAs cope with the degeneracy of the genetic code in two manners: having more than one tRNA (with a specific anti-codon) for a particular amino acid; and 'wobble' base-pairing, i.e. permitting non-standard base-pairing at the 3rd anti-codon position. Lineage: Eukaryota; Metazoa; Cnidaria; Anthozoa; Actiniaria; Aiptasiidae. The record is from Rfam by way of RNAcentral.
GUUUCCGUAGUGUAGCGGUUAUCACGUGUGCUUUACACGCACAAGGUACUCGGUUCGAACCCGAGCGAAAACA